Molecule: long non-coding RNA, 3665 nt
Organism: Gallus gallus (chicken)
Lineage: Eukaryota; Metazoa; Chordata; Aves; Galliformes; Phasianidae
Source: Ensembl
CCACCCUGACUGCAGCCCGAGAUAAAUGCAGCGCCAGGCUGCGCCCACCGCACCGCCGCCUGCUUUUUCCCCUCGGGGUUAGCAGGAGUGGGGCGGGGGUCCGGGCAGCCUCCACCCAGCAGCUGCUGUCGUUUGCUGGGGUCGUGCUGCUGUGCAGCCAUGGCAUCUAUGGGAAAACUGAGUUUUUCUCUCGUCGUUUUGCUCAGGGAGGAGAGAGGUGGUGCAGGGGAGCAUUUCAGAGUCUUCUUCAUCACCGUUGCCCAAAAUGCUGACAGUGGCGCCAAGUGAACACAGCACGGCUGGUGGGGCAGGAGGGAGCUGAGCCCCCCAUCUGCUCCUCCAUCCCUGUGGGGUUCCUAAGGGUGUUCCCAGGGGGUUCUGUGCAGGAGGCAUGGCCACCAGCCUCCAGAGGACUGUUGUACAGCAUGAGACCAGCACACAACAUGACAACAUGGCACAACAUUUGACCACUGCACUACGUGGGACCAUUGCACAGCAUGAGGUCACUCCACAACCUGAGACCACUGCACUACGUGACACCAUUGCACAGGGUGAGACUAUUGUACCACCUGGGAUCACUGCACUACAUGCGACCGUUGCACAUCCUGAGACCACUGCCCUAAGUGAGAGCACUGCACAGCCUGAGACCACUGCACCACGUGACACCGUUGCACGAAGUGGGACCAUUGUGCAACCUGGGACUGCUGCACAACACGACACCAUUGCACAGCAUGGGACCACUGCACAGCCUGAGAACAUUGCAUGAGGUGUCUGCAGGCUCAAAGAGCAGCGAGAAGCGUUCAGAGGAAAGCGAUCCCGUGCCACCUUCCCCGUGCCCGGGCUGUCCCCGCACGCUGCGGGCUCCGGCUCGGGGAUGCGGGGGGAGCGUCGGGCCGGAGCGGAGCCCCGGGCGGCUCGCUGCUGCCCCCUAGCGGGAGAGGGACGCAAUUACAGCCCCGGGGGCUUUGGGGGGGGGCUCUCCCCAUGAGCUCCCGCGGACGCCCCCUUCCAGGACCUUCCAGGAAAGCCUGCUUCUUUUCUUCAACCUUUCGGCACUUUCUUCCUUUUCCUGAGGCUCUAAGUAAGGUCUCCGGGAGAGGGCACUCGGCCGAGUGGUUUCCUGGAGGCGUUUUGCAGAGGAGGUGCAGCGGAGCCGCCGUGGAUUGAAGGAUGCUGAGCACAGAGCCGUCCCCAGCCCAUAGCACAGCCGCUGGGCUUCAGGCUGUGUGUGCGCCUUCAUGAUUUCACUUUGGGGCUGAGGAACGUGAAGCCUGCACCCGAUUCUCAGGCCUGAGCUGCAGGGACAGCUGUGGGACAGGAGAGGGAAUGCCUGAAAUCACACAACUGUAGGGAUUGGAAGGGACCUCUAAUGAUCAUUGAGUCCAACCCCCCAGAUGUUGAGCAGUGCCAUAGCCAGCCCUGUUCCCUGCAGGCAGCUGUCCUGCUUUCAGCUGGGAUAGAAUUCAUGCUCUUCCUGGCUGCUGCAAUGGAGCUCCUUAGGAUUUAGGAUGGGAAUAAUGCUGAUAACACAGACAUGUUUGGUCUAUCACAGAGCAGUGCUUACACAAGCCAAGGAUGUUUCAGCUUCUCACACUGCCCUGCCAGCACCAUGCUGGGAGGAAAGAGCCCUCACCCCAGCAGGGAGCUCUGUGUGCCGAUGGCUCAGCGCACGCUGGGGUAUCCAGGCCAGCUUUGGGACAGGUAAUUCCAGCUUCACCAGUACAACACUGGUUUUCAGGCAUCAGAAACAACUGUUAGACAAACAUCUCCGUGGGGUGAAUGAGGCAUGAGAGCCUCGUUUGAUUAAAAUGAUGUGUUCCUACACCAGGUUCAGCCCAGCCAGGUGCUAAGUGCUGCAGUACCUGUGCUGGGUGGGCUCAUGCUAACAGCUGGCAACAAGGAAUUCCUGCAAACACCCCAUUUUCUGGAGCUUGAAAACCUAAGUUUAAAAUGUUUAUUCCCAACUCCAAGAAAGGGAAAAGAAAAUAUAUAAGUUAAGGCAAUCUGUCUGCUUUCACUUCAGCCACUAAAUCCAGAUUUAUGGCUUAAUUUAAGGUACCCAGCUUUUUAUCCUUUUAUUAGCUCCCAUUCCCCCACAGCCUCCCUCUCCUCACCCACCUGUUUCCCAUUCCCGCUCUCUGUUAAUAUUGGAUUUCCUUUUUAUGUCCCCAAAGAGAGCCCUCGCAGAGCACAGUGCAGCAGUGAGUGCGCAGAGCAGGAACUGCAGUGCAUGCCUGUUGCUCUGCUAAUCACCCCGUGCUCAAAGCAGCGUUCGGAUGCCCACGCAGGCAAAGGAAGGCAGUGAGCACAGCAGAUCCUGUGCCGUCUCUGUAGGUUUGGCUGGAGGACAUCAGUGCCGCCCAUCUCUGUGCCUUCACCAUCCCGUCCCAUCCUGCUCCCCCCAUCGCUGCUCCCAGUGGUGUUGUGUCAGGCUGAAAUCUCCCCGGUCAGCUCACACUGAAGGAGUUUUUGGGGAGCCCAAAUCCCCUCCCUGUGGUCAUGUUUUUCAUCACAUCUGUCCAGCAGCACAGAGCUGAGCUCUGCAUGCAAGCCCCAUGGGCUGUAAAGGACCACAAUGCUCAUCCAGUUCCAGCCCCCCUGCUGUGUGCAGGGUCACCGACCACCAGACCAGGCACAUUGCAAUGGGGCAGCACUGCACUCUGCUGCAGUGUAAAUGCCCCAUUGCACAGUGGGGCAGUCCUCGGGCACUGGCUUGAGCAAAUGCUGAGGAUGCUGAGCAGCUCUGUGCUGCUGCACUGCUCUCCCAUCUCCCGGUGCUCUGCCUCAGACCUUUCCUUCUGAAUUUUGCUUUAAAGCUCGGCAGCAGCUCUGCCUCCCAGCACAGCCACUCCCUGAGCUCCACACGGAGCUCCUCUUCCACACUGCUUUGUUCUGCACGGCCCCUUGGAUCAGCCAUCAAACACUGUGCUGCCCUGGGUGCUGCGCCCCGCAGGGACCACAGCCUGCCAUCAUGCGAAGUGUGGAAUGGAAGAGAGCUGAGGGAGGCACAGAAGGAAGCAGUGUGCUGCACGAAAUCAGCAUCACUCAGCCCAAACCUCUCACCUGCCUCGUGUCUUCUGGGUGCGACAGAACGAAAACACAAUAAAUAAUAGCAAUGAGAGCCCGGGGGUGUGGGUUCCUGGAUGCUCGGCCCAGCCUGGCACUGACGUGUGACUGCCAGCAAAUCCCUCUGCUGGGUUUCAGCACCUGGUCCACGAGGCACAUUUUUUAAUUUAAUUGAUUGCUUGGUUUGGAGUCGGUACCCAAAGCACGCUCCUCCAGUGCGUGAGGGGAAUCACAUUGCCAAACAGCUUCAGGAUCCAGAGAAACAAAUGGCUCCAGCAAAACCCAGCUGUGUUCCACUCCUUAAGAGCUGUGCUUCGCACCCUCCCCGUUUCUGCUCACAGGGCUGGGAGCCCAGAGCAGCUCAGACACCACCUCCCCAUGGAGGCUGCCAAGCAGAGCAAGCAGCCUGCAUCCUUCCUGCUGCUGGGCCAGGGGCUGCACGCCGGGCUCUCCAUCCCCUUCUUCCUGCUGUACAUUGCAGCACUCCUUGGCAACCUUCUCCUCCUGUUUGUCACUGUGAUGGAGCGAAGCUCCAUCUGGGAGCCCCAAUACAGGAAAGACAGGGAGCUGUUGGAGAGGGUCCAGAGGAGGCCACAAAG